RNAcentral lists this long non-coding RNA (1309 nucleotides) under Monodelphis domestica (gray short-tailed opossum). Its description in RNAcentral is "lncRNA (ENSMODG00000046375.1)". Lineage: Eukaryota; Metazoa; Chordata; Mammalia; Didelphimorphia; Didelphidae. The record is from RNAcentral.
CACAGGGUGCUGUCACAACAGUCAUGAAGGACACUGACCAAUAAAAAAAAAAAACCACAGAGAAUAUUACCACAGCCCAAGAAUACUUGCUUCUCUCUCUAGAUCGGUGGUUAACAAACUACCUUGGCUGGUACUAAAUGUAGCCCUUUAUUUUUGUCCAGGAGCUAAGACUGAAUAAAGUUUUAUUUACUUAAAAAUAUCAAAAUCAUUCUUAGCUCAAUGGGGCCUUUCAGAAACAGGCCAGUGAGUGUGAUUUGGCCCUUGGGUCAUAGUUUGUCAACCCUUUCUAUAGAUGCUAGGAUUCUAGAACUCACAGGAAUAUGACAGUUACCAGGAUAGACAAUGACUCUAACAAUGUAAAUGAAAACCAAGAAAUUGGGAUAGCUCCCCCUCCUUAUGCUUGGGGAACUCAGAAGAGUUACCUCAAGUUCAAGAUACUCUCUGGGUCCCCAUUCACUUAUAAUUAUAGUUUAUAAGCCCCUACCAAUGUGAUUACUUUUUCUUUUUUGUCUACAAAAGGACACAAUUAGAUCAAAGCAUAAGUUUUUAAUGCCUUAGAGCAUUGACUCCUUAGAGUAUAUUAUCCCAUAAAUAUAUACAGCAUUAUGGAGAAAGGGAGUUUUUCCAGGAAUCUCUCCUGAGGGACCCACAUGUGGAGAAUACCUGUAAAAGGGUCAAUUCAAACCUCCAACAAUUCAGGACCCCUGAUGCUUCCUGAAAAUGUCAUCAUGUUUUCUGAUUCUGCUCCUUGCAGUUAAUGAAUGAGUCUGCUUUUCACUCAGGGUGGUAUCUCUGCUGGGGACAUUGCUCUGCUGUACUCUGCUUAUCCCUCCUUCCAUAUACAAUUCUCUAUUGGUCCCAGGAACCCUGGAAUCCAGUGCUCCCUAAAGAAUUUGCCAGAAUCACCAAUGUUGUCCAAAGAGAGAGGCUGGGAACAUAGGAUAGGGGAAAGCAUGCUGGACUUGGAGUUGGAAGAUCUGAGUUCAAAUCUAGCUCCAAAACAUGUGACCUCUUUUAUACUCCCUAUAAUUAUGAACCUCAUUUGCCUUAUUUGUAACUUGAGAAGGUAGACUAAAUGACUUCAAGGAUCCUUCUAGCUCUAAAUAUAUGUUCCUAAUAGCAUCUGCUUCUCCAUAGUAAAGUUGUUCCAAUGUUGUUUCUUUAGAUGUCAUUUAUUGAAUUACAACAUGAUCCACUGAGGCCUAGAAUGCUCCUGAGUCUUCUCAUUGGGAACUCUUAAAAGAGAUUAGCCUGGGUGGCUCAGUAGAUAGAGAGCCAGGCCUGGAGACAGGAGGUUCUUGGUUCAAAU